This 176-nucleotide ribosomal RNA is filed under the name uncultured eukaryote. RNAcentral's name for it is "partial 18S ribosomal RNA". It matches the Rfam family "Eukaryotic small subunit ribosomal RNA", at positions 1492 to 1669 of the family's 1831-position model. The record is from RNAcentral.
CGCGCGCUACACUGAUGCAUUCAACGAGCCUACCCUGGUGCCGAGAGGUAUGGGUAAUCUGAGAAACUGCAUCGUGAUGGGGCUAGAUUAUUGCAAUUAUUGAUCUUCAACGAGGAAUGCCUAGUAAGCGCGAGUCAUCAACUCGCGUUGAUUACGUCCCUGCCCUUUGUACACAC